GACGAACGCUGGCGGCGUGCUUAACACAUGCAAGUCGAACGGAAAGGCCCUGCUUUUGUGGGGUGCUCGAGUGGCGAACGGGUGAGUAACACGUGAGUAACCUGCCCUUGACUUUGGGAUAACUUCAGGAAACUGGGGCUAAUACCGGAUAGGAGCUCCUGCUGCAUGGUGGGGGUUGGAAAGUUUCGGCGGUUGGGGAUGGACUCGCGGCUUAUCAGCUUGUGGGUGGGGUAGUGGCUUACCAAGGCUUUGACGGGUAGCCGGCCUGAGAGGGUGACCGGGCACAAUGGGACUGAGAGACGGCCCAGACUCCUACGGGAGGCAGCAGUGGGGAAUAUUGCACAAUGGGCGGAAGCCUGAUGCAGCAACGCCGCGUGCGGGAUGACGGCCUUCGGGUUGUAAACCGCUUUCGCCUGUGACGAAGCGUGAGUGACGGUAAUGGGUAAAGAAGCACCGGCUAACUACGUG
This 468-nucleotide ribosomal RNA is filed under the name uncultured bacterium. RNAcentral describes it as "partial 16S ribosomal RNA". It matches the Rfam family "Bacterial small subunit ribosomal RNA", at positions 28 to 507 of the family's 1533-position model. The record is from RNAcentral.